Molecule: long non-coding RNA, 377 nt
Filed under: Chinchilla lanigera (long-tailed chinchilla)
Lineage: Eukaryota; Metazoa; Chordata; Mammalia; Rodentia; Chinchillidae
Description: lncRNA (ENSCLAG00000025770.1)
Source: RNAcentral
GUCUGACUCUCCUGCAGCUUCAAUUGAAAUCUGCUCAGAAGAUUCUCUUUUUACUCUUCUCCCAAGGGGGGAGUGCGAAGCUCCCCCUUGUUGCUUUGGGAGGCCUGCUGCCACUACCACCACCCAUCUCCACUGUACACUGUAACCGCUAGUUUUCUGAUUUUGACCUGCAGCUUCAUUUGGAAACACAUUCAAAUUUUCCAGAAGAAAAACAGAGAUCAGUUUUGAACCUCAGGGAGGUGGCCCUUGCUGUGAGGACCUUCACCGGGUCACAGGAGGAGACACGUCCUGUCGGCAAAGCGAACAGGCCAGGAUCUGCUGGGAAUCAAGGAGAGGAACCCAGAACUGAGAGACCCCGGGCACAUUCCCGGAUAUAA